RNAcentral lists this unclassified non-coding RNA (221 nucleotides) under Hevea brasiliensis (rubber tree). Lineage: Eukaryota; Viridiplantae; Streptophyta; Magnoliopsida; Malpighiales; Euphorbiaceae. The record is from RNAcentral.
AAAAAAGCUUCUCUCUGCUAUCUUUAUCAUAUGAAUAUGAUACAGGAACACGUGGUGUCCGUUUUCCAACAGCAUGAGGUUUAAUUCCAGAACGCCUCUUCUUCAACAAUGACAGGCAGCCAUAAUUUGUUGGAAGUGACUGUGAUUGUGAAGCAUCUCCAAAAUGUGCAUCCAAUCCUUUAGAGUUGUUACUUCGUGACUUUCCACGCAGUCGCUUUUGA